AGCGACCCGAGUCCAAAUAUACACACCAACGACAACAAUUAAACACAAAAUUAAAGAACAGAACAAAAAAAGGAAACCCAGAAGCUUCCAUGGACCUCAAGGUCACCUUCCCCCAUCGCCAAAGCAUCAUAGCGAUCUUCAGAAAUGGCCACUUCUUUGUCUUCAAAACAUUCUCAUCUCCUUGAGCUCGAGUGUAUUCCAGUUGGACAUUUCACCUCUCACCAGUGUCGUGGAAUCAUGCUCAGUGAAGACUUCUUCAGCUCCAAGGAUAGAAAGUGAACUGAUUUCGAAGAUUUGGCCAAGAUCCAGCCAACAAAAAUAAAGCUCCAACAAUAACGUGACAUCCUUUCUAGAACGUUUAUCGCUCACGGAAUGAACUCCAUAGAAGUUAAUACCACCAUUAAGGAUUUCAGAUCUAAAAAGGUGUACACUCUACUGUUGUUGCUUACUUGAAGAGCAUACGAAACAUUUGCAUUCCCCCGAGUGAUUGCACAGGUGAUUGAUAAUUGUGAUUUCUCAUCGUCAUGCUCAUGAAGUUAAUGAGAUACAAUAGAAUGCAGAAUUUCCAUGGGUGCUGAUUUCUUUCCAACAGGUGGGGGACUAAUUGAAAUAGAUUCCUUGGCUAUCAUGGUAGUCUCAACCUCCAGGGAUUCUGCAUUGUUAUACUUAUUCCCAUUAAUAUUAUCACUACUUCCUUCAUGUGUUUUACCAUUGUUUUGCUGUGUGCCAAAAUAGUUUGUGACCCAUUCUUUUGUAGAUAUCUGUUGUUGAUUUGCAUCUUUACUACAUGCUGCAUGUGACUCCUCUAUGAGCUUUGUGAACCAUCACUACCCUUCUUAUUUGCCUGUGAAUGAUUCCCUGUAUUGUCGAUUAACUCUAUAUUUGUAGUUUCUUCUGUUAAAGCCUCAAAAGCAUUUGCAGUACUAACUCCUUCAUCAGCUUUGCUUGUGUUCUCAGCCACCUUAUCAUUGAUGUUGUCUCUGAUUCCUCUCUUGUUGGUGGGAUCUAGGAACAGAAGAACUAGAAGGUAUAUCAGGCUGUAUUAAGGGUGGGAAAUCUGAAAGGUUAUUCUGAUCAGUCACGGAAGGUGGCUGACCAGUGGCACCGGCCAUAUCCAGUGGCAAUUAGAAGAACCGGCGACGACUAUGGGGUUAAAUACAUGCGGCGAAGCUAGGGUUUCUUUUUAUGAUAGCCAUCAUUAAUGUCAUGCACAAAAUUUUUAAGUUCUAAUUUUUUUAAAGAAAGUUCUGA
Long non-coding RNA from Solanum dulcamara, 1251 nucleotides. RefSeq lists it as uncharacterized. Lineage: Eukaryota; Viridiplantae; Streptophyta; Magnoliopsida; Solanales; Solanaceae. The record is from RefSeq and is a predicted model, not a curated record. The transcript has 3 exons.